CAAGUUUCUCAAGGCCUUUAUUUCUCUAAACUGACUGGCAUAUGUGGUAUAUAGAAAGUACACAAGUCUAUAAAAAGAUUUGAGACUUCGUGCUCCAAUCAGGCCCAAUACAUCUUUGAGGUUUCAUAAUAGAGAAUAGAGAACAAGGAUAUCCAUAAACCCAGGCUAAUUUCUUAAAAUCUAUUUCUUAUUUAGAGCAGGAAAGGCUUCCAUGUGGAGACAUUAGGACUUAAAUAGUCACAAGUAUGCACAUGUCAUUUAAGAAGCAGCUGAGAUUUCUUCAUGUAUUUGCUUGCAAGCUGUUUGUUUUCUCCUCUCUAUUCCAGCUGGAAAUUGCUUAUAGCCUCUCUCAGAAGGACUUGUCAGCACAAACAAUGCAGAUUGCAAAAUGAGAAAAUCUGAAACAAAAGCACAUGCUCAAAUCUCCCAGGAUAAUAAUUUUCAAGUACAUACUUCAUAACACUUUUUGAAAAAUAAGUGAGAUAAUGUGCAAGACAACCUUUAGCCCAUUGGACAAGGCAUGUCUCUGAGCUGUAGUUUCUUCAUGUCAGGCCUCUGAGCCUAAGCCAAGCCAUCGCAUCUUCUGUGACUUGCACGUAUGCAUCCAGAUGGCCUGAAGGAACUGAAGAUCUACAAAAGAAGUAAAAAUAGCCUUAACUGAUGACAUUCCACCAUAGUGAUUUGUUCCUGCACUACCUUAACUGAUCAAUGUACUUUGUAAUUCUCCGCACCCUUGAGAAUGUACUUUGUGAGAUCCACCCCUGCCUGCAAAACAUUGCUCUUAACUUCACCGCCUAUCUUAAAACUUGUAAGAACUAAUGAUAAUCCACCACAUUUUGCUGACUCUCUUUUCGGACUCAGCCUACCUGCACCCAGGUGAAA
RNAcentral lists this long non-coding RNA (882 nucleotides) under Homo sapiens (human). Its description in RNAcentral is "HSALNT0232038". The record is from RNAcentral. Lineage: Eukaryota; Metazoa; Chordata; Mammalia; Primates; Hominidae.